UAAAUAAAUAAAAUUUCAUCUUCAUUAGGAUAAUAAAGUUUCAUCUUGGAUAGCAAUGUAGGAAAAAAUGUUAUUCAGAUCCUACUCAUGGUUCCACUGCUUUAAACAAAUUAGUGUUUCUCUUUCCCAGAUUCCUAAGAUGUAAAGGUUCAAAUAUUCACUGAGCUAUCUGGCAGGUACAUUUUGAGGAGUAAUUAGAAUUUCUUUUGUGCUUACUAUCAUGCAUUAGAAAUAUAAAACCAUAAUGGAAUACCCAUUUAACAAUUUGCCAUGCAAAAAUUCUAUGUUAAGAACGUACCAUCACACUGUUAUAAAAGCAACCUCUUUUUUUUUUUCCUUUAAUAGUGCUUAAAACCUGAUCUGUAAUAUAGCACAUAAGCAUAACGCUAGGCUGGAACUGCCAGAAAUAAAUGCCAGCACUUUCAGAAAUAUUUAUAAAACCUAUUCAUACAAAUCUGGGCUUGAAUUGCACACAUUUGUAAAACCACUUAUUUAGAGGUGGGAGGAAUCUCACUGGGUAUCUGUAACUGAAAAAUCUUAUUUUCAACUAAAACUGAGAAAAGUUUUACCGAUGGGAUGGUACCCGAAGCUAAUAACAUAAGUUGUUCCAGCUGCUGUGAACAUUUCUGGAAGAAUUCUUAGGUAAUGGACUAGAUCCUAAACCAAAUGAAAUUAACUUCAGUUAACUGAAUUUACAGCUAAAUGACCUUGAAAGGCUGCUCAAGUUCUUACUUUCUAGUAUCUAUGCAAUGUCAUUGAUUACUAAUUAAUUUUUUCAGUGCUUUGGUGUUCUGGAAGAGACUUCAUCUAUCCAUAAAUGGCUACCAAUUAAUUUCAUUUUAUUCCUGUUUCAUUUUCCAGCUUUCAUAAUAGUGAAUCUAUUUGGACAGAAAAUUAGUGUUUGGAUGGUUUCCAGAGUGACAAUUAUGAAAAAUAGGUGAAUGAAAAUCCUCCAAUGUACACCAACUGGUCUCCAGUUGAAGUAGUGCAUGGAAACGGUACUUUAAAAAAGUCAGAAAAAUUUUGGGUUUGUCUGCCAAAAGUCUCAGGGAAAGGUUUACUUUUGCUUUGACUCUGUUCUCUUUUCUUACUAUAUUGAAUUCAUUUUACAUUAUUUUCAUCUAGGAGCAGCUUAUUAUAGGUAUGUCUAAAAGCAGGAACAUAAAAGAUUUCGAAGAUUAAUAUUCAGACAGACUACAUCAACGCUGUUUAAUAAAUUAAUCGCUGUGAUGUAGAAUUGAUUUAAAAAAAGAAGUUACUAAGUUUUCUUUCUAACUUUGAGCUUUCUAUUGCAUAACUUAGAAUCAGGUAUAGAGAUGAAAUUUCACGUUUUCUGUCAUGGCAGCAGAUUAACUGCAUGAAAUUAAAAAAAGCAAAACUGAGGCUCUUCUAGACUUCCCUGAUCCUCCUGUGACAAAGUAACUGCAGUUGUCAAAGGCAGUGUAUUAGACCCUGCCUGCCACAGUACUUGCAAGUAGCACCAUGGUAAGAAGCCCCUGGAAAGCCCUUGCUGGAAACCAAAACCAAGCUUGCACGGUGCUGAUAAAAUGCAGACUUAUCAGCAGCUUUGGGCUGUAUGGCUUCACUGGAUUUGGAACUUCAUCCCAGAGCUUGAUGCUUCCAGGUUCAUUCAGGAGCAUGCAGAGAUCCCAGCAGGAUUCGAAACCAAACCAACACUCAGAGAAAGACAUUCCCUGCUGUCAACAGGCAAGAUGCAGACUGAAUGUGUCCACACUUUCACAAGGUUUUUUUUUUUUCUCAAAUUUGUUUCUAGUAUUUGAGUAGGCCUUGUCUAAUCUGAGUUUGAAUAUACAGCAGGACAGAGCCAGAGCCAGUACUACAGUAGCUGGCACUGUUACAUUUGGGUAAAAAAUAGAGGUUGGUUUUAGAAAAAAGAUUUGUAAUACCUAUUAUUAUCUCUGGAAGUUACCUACCAUGUUUCUAUGCAGUAGAAGUACCAGAACAGUCUCUAAAAUGCUAUAAUAACAUCUAGCCUAUUUAUUAUGAAAGAUGACACUUUCAAAGAGUCAAGCGUAAGGAUCCCUAGCAAUAAUAAACUCUUCAAACGCAAUGAAAAACUCAAAACUUUGGAACUUGUGCCGAAGAGUCAUACAGAGAAUGUUAAAGGAUGUAAGAAAUAGAUAAAAAUUCAACUGAGAGAGCGUGUGAUUUCAUCUUAAGUUUACUCUACAGUCCAACAGCUUCAUAAUGUGCUAAAGGUUAGGCUGUGGCUGACGAAAUGGGAAAUCUAAAGCAACAGCAGAGAAAUGCCAUUUUCCUUUGGU
Molecule: long non-coding RNA, 2285 nt
Organism: Neopsephotus bourkii (Bourke's parrot)
Lineage: Eukaryota; Metazoa; Chordata; Aves; Psittaciformes; Psittacidae
Exons: 5
Source: RefSeq, a predicted model, not a curated record